UUCCGGUUGAUCCUGCCGGACCUUACUGCUAUCGGGAUGAGACUAAGCCAUGCAUGUCGAGCGCUCUUCAGCUAUGUAGAGAGCGCGGCGGAACGGCUCAAUAACACGUAGUUAACCUACCUCGGGAUGGGAAUAACCCCGGGAAACUGGGAUUAAUACCCACUAGAUGAUUAUACCUGGAAUGGCUUAUCAUCGAAAGAGUCUGGAAACAUGCUUCCAGCGUCGCCCGAGGAUGGGACCGCGUCCGAUCAGGUAGUUGGUGGGGUAAUGGCCUACCAAGCCUAUAACCGGUACGGGCCCUGAGAGGGGGAGCCCGGAGAUGGAAACUGAGAAAAGGUUCCAGGCCCUACGGGGUGCAGCAGGCGCGAAACCUCCACAAUGCGCGAAAGCGUGAUGGGGUUAUCCCGAGUGCCGUCCGAUGAGGAUGGCUUUUUAUCGAUGUAAGGAUUCGAUAGAAUAAAGGGGGGGCAAGACUGGUGUCAGCCGCCGCGGUAAUACCAGCCCCCUGAGUGGUAAGGACGAUUAUUUGGCCUAAAGCGUUCGUAGCCGGCUUAUCAAGUCUUUUGUUAAAUCCAACGAUUUAAUCGUUGGGCCGCAAAAGAUACUGUUAUGCUAGAGGACGGGAGAGGUCGACGGUAGUCCAGGGGUAGGGGUGAAAUCCUAUAAUCCUUGGAGGACCACCAGUGGCGAAGGCGGUCGACUAGAACGUGCCUGACGGUGAGGGACGAAAGCUGGGGGAGCGAACCGGAUUAGAUACCCGGGUAGUCCCAGCUGUAAACGAUGCGGGCUAGGUGUUGGGGCAGCCACGAGCUGCUCCAGUGCCGCAGAGAAGUUGUUAAGCCCGCCGCCUGGGGAGUACGGCCGCAAGGCUGAAACUUAAAGGAAUUGGCGGGGGAGCACCACAAGGGGUGAAGGCUGCGGUUUAAUUGGAGUCAACGCCGGA
This 943-nucleotide ribosomal RNA is filed under the name uncultured archaeon. Its description in RNAcentral is "bacterial SSU rRNA". It matches the Rfam family "Archaeal small subunit ribosomal RNA", at positions 1 to 922 of the family's 1478-position model. The record is from RNAcentral.